GUAAGUUUCCUGUUUGUGUGUCAGGUAGUCCCCCCCAAGCCCAGCUCUCUUUGGUUUCUUCUUUUUGCCAGCACCAAGGAGGUCAGAGGUUGAUUUGUGGGGUGUACCCAAGGCCCUAGAACACUUUCAAGUCCAGGAAAAUUUCUCAUUUAAGCCAAGUUCAUCCCUUCCCAGGGUGAGAAGUCAGUAGUUCCAAGUCUCCAUGCAGAAUGGGAUGGCAUCCAGCAGUCUGCUGGGAACUGAUUGCCUGCUCUCUGCACCGGCAUUCCACGUCCACUCCUCCAUUUAGAACCUCCAGACACAUUCAUCUUCAACUCUCGCGGUUU
Molecule: long non-coding RNA, 326 nt
Organism: Perognathus longimembris pacificus (Pacific pocket mouse)
Lineage: Eukaryota; Metazoa; Chordata; Mammalia; Rodentia; Heteromyidae
Exons: 2
Source: RefSeq, a predicted model, not a curated record